CUGUGCGUCCUCCAGACCUGCAUUCAAAUGUCACCUGCAUGGGGUCACCUGGCCUCGUCCACUGCGCACACCCUGCACGGCCCUGCCCUUGCUCCUGGUCCUUCCGGGGCUGAACACCCCGAGUGUUUCUCUCUCCCCGGCAGUAUGCGUCUCUCCCUCCAGAACAUUAGGUAUUUAAGGACAAGGACUUUUGUCUGCUUUUUCCCCACACUGCCCCAGAAUCAAGAACAGAGCUUGGAACAUAGGAUGCAGCCAGUAAAGACUGGUUGUUGAAUGAAUAAAUGGAUGGAUGGAUGGAUGGAUGAGUGGGUGGGUGGCAUUCUUACUCCUUGCUACCCAAUCUCCUAGGGUUUCACGGUUCAAGUCCCCACGCACACAAGGCCCCUCUGCCUGGCACUCAGUGAGGCCAGUGAAGGGAGGUGAGCUCGAACACCCUCAGGAGGAAGAAAGUAACAGAAUUAGAGAAGAGGGAGGGGUGGGGGUGACAGGGCGUGGACGCAUCUGGGAACUGCUAAUCAGAAGGGGCCAAGGCCGCCAGCGCAGGGCACGGGGCCACACGCGUUCAGACCUCCGAGAGCUCCGAAGCUGGGAGUCGGGUCUUCCACAGGAGGAAGUCUCCCUAGUUUUGAGUGUUUGCAGCCAACUGGGGUUUCGGAUCAGUUCCCAAGGCCCACCAUGGCACGGCCGGGCUGCCCAGUGAGGGCCUCACCUCUCUGAGCCUCAGUUUCCUCACCCCGGAGGAGGUGGCAGCCGCCUUACGACUGGAUGAAGUGCGUCCUGGGGUUGCUGCCCAGAUAUAGACGCAUGGAGAGACACUGGUGCUGAGGAGAGGGAUGGAGCUGGGGAGGAAGAGGGCAGCAUCUUGGGGACACAGAGGGACCUGGCACGGAGGCGAGAACACAGAUGGAGACGGAGGAGGUGGAGGUCAAGACAGAGGCUGCGGCGGCGUGCGGGGCGCCCGAGGCAGAAGCAGCAGGGAGGGCGCAGGAGGGGGAGGCCAGCAGAGCCGCCUGAAGGGGAAAACUGCCCAUCUUUUUCCAAAAGUCUCCCGCUCCUGGUCCCGGCUGCCUCUGCAACUUAGAGAACUCCUUCCUCCCGGCCGCCACGGAAGCCCCAGCUGCUCCCGCCCGGUCCUCUCAUCAGCCGCUUCCUCGGACCCCGACUGGCCCCGUCCACAAACGUCCUCCUCCUGGCCUGGACUGCACUGCGCUCGGGAAAUACAGCCCCCUCUGCCCCGCAGGCCCCGGCCUCCCUGAGGACUACCCUCGGUGCCCUCACGGUCCCUCUCGCCUGCUUCGGAGGGUCCCCCGCCCCGGAUCUCCCCAACCUGCGCGGACCCAACUCUCCUUCAGGGGACCAGAAGCCGCGAGCCCGCUCCUGCCACCCGCCAAGGCGUAAAGCGAUCCCCCAGUCCACGCAGCGCUCAGGAAAACGCGAUCUCCAAGACUUCAACUCUCUGACUCUGCACUCCCCCCACACCUCCGCUUCACCCCGUCGCUCUCCCGGCCGGGCGUCCCUUACCUGUGUCCCCCACUUUCCCGGACUUCUUUCCAAACCCCCGGCGGCGGCGAAGAGACCGGAACCCUUAGAGCAGCGGCGACACCUCCGAGAGCCCCGGUCCCGCCGCGGGGUGACCUUGGCCUCCCACGUCCCUGCGUCCUCCGCCCCCCGUCAGCUGGCCCCAGGCUGGGCUGCUCCAGGUCGGCUGGGGGGCGUCUCCAUGGCGACGGCCUGGCGCCCCCUUCGCGCCUGCCCACACGCAGUCCCUUCCUGGCUGCUCGCUCCUGGCCAGGGCGCCCGGACCUGCGUCCCGCGGCCUGGGACGGCCCCUUCCCCUCUCUCCGGCCGGCGGACUUUCCUGCCUCUGCCUCCCCGGGGGUGAGCUGGGGACCCCGGCGUGGGCGUCCUCCCCCUUCCGCGGCGGGGGCUGCUCCUCGCAGACUCGGGGAGCUCCGCGCUGGGCAGUUGGGGGCACUCUGCCCGGCUUCGGGGACUCCUCCCCGAGCCCUGGGCCCACGGCUGCGCGGGGGGAAGCACGGGCCCCACUUCCAGAGCCUCCCAGAAGCGGAGGGGUCGGCACCCUCUCCCGAGCGGCCAGGCCCGUCUCCAGGGUCGGGGGGCCGCAGAGCCCCAAUUCCACAUCCGCCCACCUCCGAUUACUGGAAGCUCCCUCACCUCUGGCGGCGACGGGUCAACUCUCCGACGGGCUGCGGAGGGACGUCCAGCCUCCCUGCCGGCGCCCCCGAGAAGCCCCAGGGCUCCCGGUUCUCGCCGCUGCCCCUCCCCCAGCAGUGAGGGACCCAGGCGUCCGACCUGCCUGGGGGUGGAGUGAGGCCCCCGCCAGCGCGGGCCUGGGGCUGGGCUUGCGGCUGGAGGAACGUGCGUGUGAAAAGCUGAGUGCAGACAGCUCACGGUCCGAUGGGCGGCAGUUUUGAGAAGAAAGGCUUCGUCCCCUGCAGAACCGGCCAGCGAGUCCCGGGCGGCCGGAGCCGGGGACUCUGGCGGCGGGCCAAAGUUUGGGCUCGGUCGGAACCUCGGGGUUGUCCCUGAGCCACUGUGUGACCUUGGCCCAAACACUUCUGUCUCCGAACUGUGUGUCGGGAAUCAGGGGCCACACACUGCUGGGAGCAGCCUCGCCGCGCGGUUGGGAGGGCGCGGGCAGUCGCUGGACUUCAGAGGCCCGGGCCCGGUUCCCGGCCUUCCGCCCUGCGAGCCUGAGCGGGACCCUGGCUGCCGACCUGCCCCUCUGCACCCUCUGCCGUGCGUCCAUCCGUCCACCUACCCCAGGGCUGCUCUCGGCCACUUUCAGGACUGCCAGGUGUCAGCUCCGUGCCGUUCACCCCUACCCUGCCCCACGGGAGCUGGGAGAAGCCUUCCCACCACUCCAGACUCCGGAGAGACCUCCAGGGAUGAAAUGAGCCAGGCUUCUCACUGUGGCGCUGCAGGCCCGGCCCGGGCAUCCUCUGGCCUUUGUGACUGCCCUGUCUCACACCUGGUCUCUCCAGUGUCACCCCCAGAAAUGUCUCCAGAGGGUGUCGAUGUCCCAGGUUAAGAGCCAUUUAAGGAAUCGGACUCAGGACUUUUCGCUUUUGAGGCAGGAAGCGGAACCACUGAGCUAAAUCCCCAGCCUAUAUCACUCAUCUAUUGAUGGGCAUCUGGCUGGCUUCCACAUUUCAUCUAUUAUGAAUGAUGCUGCUGUGAACAUCUGAGUUUUGCAGAGAUGUUUGUUUUGCUAUCUCCUGGAUGACUAAAGUCACGUGUUAGCCCCUGUGAACACCCUGCAGCAUGGGGAAGGGACUUUCAGAAGGGGCGGUCUCUCUGGACCUCGUCCUACACUGGCUCUUGAACUCACCUUACCCUGCCAAGGCUUCCAAGGUAGCUAAGUCCCUGCCCCCCAGGAAGCCCUCCACCCUCACUGCCACCUGCGGGAGGCAGGAUUUUAAAAUGACCCCCAAGGCCAGGUGUGGUGGUGCACACCUGUAAUCCCAGCACUGGGGAGGUUGAGGCAGGAAGAUCACUGUGAGUGUGAGGCCAACCUGGGCCACAGUGAAUUCAAGAUCAGUGAAUUAUAUCAGUGGACUAUACAGUGAGACCCUAUCUCAAAACACUAAAACUAGGACCAGAGAUGUAGCUCAGUGGAACUGCGCCUGCCUGGCAAGCACAAGGUCCUGAGUUCGAUCCCUGGUACCAAAAAAAU
RNAcentral lists this long non-coding RNA (3697 nucleotides) under Heterocephalus glaber (naked mole-rat). Its description in RNAcentral is "lncRNA (ENSHGLG00100043094.1)". Lineage: Eukaryota; Metazoa; Chordata; Mammalia; Rodentia; Bathyergidae. The record is from RNAcentral.